RNAcentral lists this small RNA (178 nucleotides) under Chelonoidis abingdonii (Abingdon island giant tortoise). RNAcentral's name for it is "TUC338 (ENSCABG00000020411.1)". The record is from RNAcentral. Lineage: Eukaryota; Metazoa; Chordata; Testudines; Testudinidae.
AAGCCAGCGCUGGACUCCUGGACUUCCCUACCCCUGUAACAAGUACAGCACCGGCAGCAGCUAAGGAAGCUUCCCAACACUGCCCUGCCAAUUUGCUUCAGCAAUGACCCAGAGGCAUCACAUCUGGAGGGAUCUAGGAGUGCAAGCAGAGUUCAGUUCCCAGCCCAAAGCAGAAAAU